Molecule: ribosomal RNA, 324 nt
Filed under: uncultured Cercomonas
Lineage: Eukaryota; Cercozoa; Cercomonadida; Cercomonadidae
Description: SSU rRNA
Rfam family: Eukaryotic small subunit ribosomal RNA (bases 104-324)
Source: RNAcentral
GAUUUCUGGAUGGCUGUGCUAGCCCGCUGGCUUUCGGGUCGGUGAGCGCCGGUACGAGUCAUUCAUCUUUGUAGGGAGCCUGGUCUGCCCUUUUUUGGGUGGGUCUGUGCGAACUACAUCAUUUACUUUGAAAAAAUUAGAGUGUUUAAAGCAGGCUUGCGCUAUGAAUACAUUAGCAUGGAAUAAUAAUUUAGGACUUUGGUCUUAUUUUGUUGGUUUCUAGGACUAAAGUAAUGAUUGAUAGGGACAGUUGGGGGUGCUAGUAUUCAGCGGCCAGAGGUGAAAUUCUUGGAUUCGCUGAAGACUAACUUAUGCGAAAGCAUU